UUCGUAGUUCCACCGCAAGAUGAAAGCAAGGAGAAGAGAGCGGAGAGUGAGGGGGAACUGCGAUUGCAUCACCGAUGUGGAACUCUUGUUUCUCCAUCGCAGUCAGUCACUGAAUGAACCAAAAUGCAUGUAUCCUCUAUCCUCCCAUUGCCGGGAAUCCGGAUUGGAUGCCGGAAUCCGGUGAGUCCCCAGCUCUCAUCACGAGAAGCACAGCACCCUUCUUCUUACGCCGUGCGUCAACGUAAUGCAAGCACAGCAGGUAGCGGGAGAAGCAGCGAGAAUGGCUCCAUCCCAGGCGAAUCACUGCACGACUUCCCAGAGAAGGCCACUGCUACACUGGGGCGCUGCCCGCGGCCUCGCCGGAUAAUACUUGUGAGGCACGGCGAGAGCCAGGGAAACGUGGACGAGAGCGUCUAUACUCGGAUACCCGACCCCAAGAUUGAAUUGACGGAGAAAGGGUGGCGAGGCGCCGAGAAGACGGGCAGGCGGAUACGGGAGAUGAUUGUGAAUGAUGGCUGCGACGAUUGGAAGGUUUACUUCUACGUGUCGCCAUACACCAGGACGCUUCAGACGCUGAGGGGUUUGGGCAGAGCCUUCGAGCGCGAGCGGAUCACUGGCGUGAGGGAAGAGCCUCGCUUGCGGGAGCAAGACUUCGGGAACUUUCAGGACAGGGAGAAAAUGAUAAUAGAGAAAGCUGAACGCCUUAAGUAUGGCCGAUUCUUUUACCGCUUUCCAGAUGGAGAAUCUGCUGCUGAUGUCUAUGAUCGGAUAACAGGUUUCAGAGAAACUCUCAGGGCAGACAUAGACAUUGGCCGAUUCCAACCGCCAGAUGAAUGGACUCACAACAUGAACUUAAUAAUAGUUUCUCAUGGCCUGGCAUUGCGGGUCUUCUUGAUGAGAUGGUAUAAGUGGACGGUGCAGCAAUUUGAGGGCCUCCACAAUUUCGGGAAUGGAGGGAUGAUUGUCAUGCAAACAGGGACUGGUGGAAGAUAUAGUCUGCUAGUUCAUCACACAGUUGAGGAGAUGCGGGAGUUUGGCUUGACAGAAGAAAUGCUUCAUGACCAGAGAUGAACCUUGCAUUGCAGAUGGAGUUGAUAAUGCAAGUCCACCCUCAAAACGAUUUGCCAACAUCAUCCAUUGGCAUGCAACUUAAUGCUACCUUGCCUUCCAAAAAGAGAGUAGGAACGUCUAUCAAGCUUUCUGUCUCUAUAUGACCAAAGCUAUCUGAAUUAGAAAAAGCUCCCAAACGACUUAUGAAGUCUGCAGCUCCAAAAAUUUUAAGAAAUCCUGCUUUGCAGACACAUCAAAAUCGUGUUUCCAUCUUCCAAUGCAAGGCAAAUGAAGGCAAAGCCAGGUGAAUUUAAUCAUGAGUGGUCCAGCUCUGGUCCGUCAUUUUUUUCACAUUUUGAUUAGCAGCCAAUGCUGCUUAAGAAUAUUCAUAUAUGAGGCCAGUACAUUGCAUAAUAGAAGUAAUGCUUCCUGUCUGGGGAUAUUUGGUGCUUGUGGUACCACUAGUUUUUACUGUACAUACUACAGAUCGCUUCAAUUUGAUGACAGAAUCUCCAUUUUUUGUGAGGUA
RNA transcript from Nymphaea colorata (pocket water lily), 1579 nucleotides. It is a transcript of the gene named phosphoglycerate mutase-like protein AT74H, with no coding region annotated. The record is from RefSeq and is a predicted model, not a curated record. The transcript has 6 exons. Lineage: Eukaryota; Viridiplantae; Streptophyta; Magnoliopsida; Nymphaeales; Nymphaeaceae.